This 397-nucleotide ribosomal RNA is filed under the name uncultured bacterium. RNAcentral's name for it is "partial 16S ribosomal RNA". It matches the Rfam family "Bacterial small subunit ribosomal RNA", at positions 360 to 774 of the family's 1533-position model. The record is from RNAcentral.
AAUCUUGCGCAAUGGGCGAAAGCCUGCCGCAGCCAUGCCGCCUGAAUGAUGAAGGCCUUAGGAUUGUAAAAUUCUUUCACCGGCGACGAUAAUGACGGUACGCGGAGAAGAAGCCCCGGCUAAGUCCGUGCCAGCAGCCGCGGUAAUACGAAGGGGGCUAGCGUUGCUCGGAAUGACUGGGCGUAAAGGGCGCGUUGGCGGAUAGUUAAGUCAGGAGUGAAAUCCCGGGGCUCAACCUCGGAAUUGCCCUUGAUACUGGCGAUCUUGAGUAUGAGAGAGGUAUGUGGAAGUCCGAGUGUAGAGGUGAAAUUCGUAGAUAUUCGGAAGAACACCAGUGGCGAAGGCGACAUACUGGCUCAUUACUGACGCUGAGGCGCGAAAGCGUGGGGAGCAAACA